UGGGAUAACCCCGGGAAACCGGGGCUAAUACCGGAUAUGACCUUGCACCGCAUGGUGUUUGGUGGAAAGUUUUUCGGCUUGGGAUGGGCUCGCGGCCUAUCAGCUUGUUGGUGGGGUGAUGGCCUACCAAGGCGACGACGGGUAGCCGGCCUGAGAGGGCGACCGGCCACACUGGGACUGAGACACGGCCCAGACUCCUACGGGAGGCAGCAGUGGGGAAUAUUGCACAAUGGGCGGAAGCCUGAUGCAGCGACGCCGCGUGAGGGAUGACGGCCUUCGGGUUGUAAACCUCUUUCAGCAGGGACGAAGCGUAAGUGACGGUACCUGCAGAAGAAGCGCCGGCCAACUACGUGCCAGCAGCCGCGGUAAGACGUAGGGCGCGAGCGUUGUCCGGAUUUAUUGGGCGUAAAGAGCUCGUAGGCGGCUUGUCGCGUCGACCGUGAAAACCUGGGGCUCAACCCCAGGCCUGCGGUCGAUACGGGCAGGCUAGAGUUCGGUAGGGGAGACUGGAAUUCCUGGUGUAGCGGUGAAAUGCGCAGAUAUCAGGAGGAACACCGGUGGCGAAGGCGGG
This 571-nucleotide ribosomal RNA is filed under the name Micromonospora sp. YIM 78162. RNAcentral describes it as "bacterial SSU rRNA". It matches the Rfam family "Bacterial small subunit ribosomal RNA", at positions 139 to 725 of the family's 1533-position model. The record is from RNAcentral. Lineage: Bacteria; Bacillati; Actinomycetota; Actinomycetes; Micromonosporales; Micromonosporaceae.